CAAAUACUCCCUCCGUCGGGAAAUACUUGUCAUCAAAAUGGAUAAAAGGAAAUGUAUCUAGAUGUAUUUUAGUUUUAGGUACAUCUCUUUUUAUCCAUUUUGAUGACAAGUAUUUUCGGACGGAGGGAGUAGAAA
Non-coding RNA from Triticum aestivum (bread wheat), 135 nucleotides. The record is from Rfam. Lineage: Eukaryota; Viridiplantae; Streptophyta; Magnoliopsida; Poales; Poaceae.